AACGAACGUUGGCGGCGUGGAUUAGGCAUGCAAGUCGAACGAAUCCUCAGGGGCUUGCUCUUGAGGGAAAGUGGCGAAAGGGGCAGUAAGGCGUGGGUAACCUACCCUGGGGACUGGGAUAGCCGUCCUAACGGAUGGGUAAUACCGGGCGAUGUAGCUGGAGGACAUCCACUGGCUACCAAAUGAAUUUCGCCCUGGGAGGGGCUCACGUGGUAUUAGCUAGUUGGUGAGGUAAUGGCUCACCAAGGCCAAGAUGCCUAGCUGGUGUGAGAGCACGACCAGCGCCACUGGCACUGCGACACUGGCCAGACUCCUACGGGUGGCUG
This 326-nucleotide ribosomal RNA is filed under the name uncultured Planctomycetota bacterium. RNAcentral's name for it is "bacterial SSU rRNA". It matches the Rfam family "Bacterial small subunit ribosomal RNA", at positions 29 to 351 of the family's 1533-position model. Lineage: Bacteria; Pseudomonadati; Planctomycetota. The record is from RNAcentral.